This is a non-coding RNA of Vicia faba (fava bean), 234 nucleotides long. NCBI's taxonomy places the organism in Eukaryota, Viridiplantae, Streptophyta, Magnoliopsida, Fabales, Fabaceae. The record is from the annotation of a GenBank genome assembly.
AUGCAGAUCUUGGAGAAUGUUGGAGAGGACAUUAAAUGUGAACAACUCAAUUUCGUUGCGGAAGGUGAAAUUACAUCUCCCCACGUUCCUGAUCCUGCUACCCCUAAAGCUAAUGUGAUGAGGAUGUCUACAGACCGUCCUAUCGAUUAUUUUGUUCACCAUAUUAUCGAAGGGGAUCUAUCUUCAACUAAAGUGAAGAAAAUUACCAAACGGGGAAAGAAAUCCACCGUAUGA